Molecule: ribosomal RNA, 1070 nt
Filed under: Mycoplasmoides gallisepticum
Lineage: Bacteria; Bacillati; Mycoplasmatota; Mycoplasmoidales; Mycoplasmoidaceae
Description: bacterial SSU rRNA
Rfam family: Bacterial small subunit ribosomal RNA
Source: RNAcentral
GAUUAACGCUGGCGGCAUGCCUAAUACAUGCAAGUCGAUCGGAUGUAGCAAUACAUUAGAGGCGAACGGGUGAGUAACACGUAUCCAAUCUGCCUUAUAGUGGGGGAUAACUAGUCGAUGAUUAGCUAAUACCGCAUAACAAGUUAACUAUCGCAUGAGAAUAACUUUAAAGAAGCAACUGCUUCGCUAUAAGAUGAGGGUGCGGCAUAUCAGCUAGUUGGUGAGGGUAAUGGCCCACCAAGGCGAUGACGUGUAGUUAUGCUGAGAGGUAGAAUAACCACAAUGGGACUGAGACACGGCCCAUACUCCUACGGGAGGCAGCAGUAGGGAAUUUUUCACAAUGGACGAAAGUCUGAUGGAGCAAUGCCGCGUGAACGAUGAAGGUCUUUUUAGAUUGUAAAGUUCUUUUAUUUGAAGAACAGUUAGUAGAGUGGAAAGCUAUUAAUUUGACUGUACCAUUUGAAUAAGUAACGACUAACUAUGUGCCAGCAGUCGCGGUAAUACAUAGGUUGCAAGCGUUAUCCGGAUUUAUUGGGCGUAAAACAAGCGCAGGCGGAUUAGAAAGUCUGGUGUUAAAAGCAAUUGCUUAACGAUUGUAUGCAUUGGAAACUUCUAGUCUAGAGUUUGGUAGAGAGUCCUGGAACUCCAUGUGGAGCGGUGAAAUGCGUAGAUAUAUGGAAGAACACCAGAGGCGAAGGCGAGGACUUGGGCCAAUACUGACGCUUAGGCUUGAAUGUGUGGGGAGCAAAUAGGAUUAGAUACCCUAGUAGUCCACACUGUAAACGAUGGAUGUUAAGUGUCGGAGCGAAUACUUCGGUGCUGCAGUUAACACAUUAAACAUCCUGCCUGAGUAGUACAUUCGCAAGAAUGAAACUCAAACGGAAUUGACGGGGACCCGCACAAGUGGUGGAGCAUGUUGCUUAAUUCGACGGUACACGAAAAACCUUACCUAGACUUGACAUCUUGGGCGAAGCUAUAGAAAUAUAGUGGAGGUCAACCCAAUGACAGGUGGUGCAUGGUUGUCGUCAGCUCGUGUCGUGAGAUGUUGGGUUAAGUCCCGCAACGAGCGC